AGCACGGUAGUGCAGUAGGUAGCACAAUUGCCUUACAGCAAGAAAAUCCCUGGUUCAAGCCCCGGCUGAGUCA
This 73-nucleotide transfer RNA is filed under the name Danio rerio (zebrafish). It matches the Rfam family "tRNA". From Rfam's summary of the family: Transfer RNA (tRNA) molecules are approximately 80 nucleotides in length. Their secondary structure includes four short double-helical elements and three loops (D, anti-codon, and T loops). Further hydrogen bonds mediate the characteristic L-shaped molecular structure. tRNAs have two regions of fundamental functional importance: the anti-codon, which is responsible for specific mRNA codon recognition, and the 3' end, to which the tRNAs corresponding amino acid is attached (by aminoacyl-tRNA synthetases). tRNAs cope with the degeneracy of the genetic code in two manners: having more than one tRNA (with a specific anti-codon) for a particular amino acid; and 'wobble' base-pairing, i.e. permitting non-standard base-pairing at the 3rd anti-codon position. Lineage: Eukaryota; Metazoa; Chordata; Actinopteri; Cypriniformes; Danionidae. The record is from Rfam by way of RNAcentral.